This 415-nucleotide ribosomal RNA is filed under the name uncultured prokaryote. RNAcentral describes it as "bacterial SSU rRNA". It matches the Rfam family "Bacterial small subunit ribosomal RNA", at positions 505 to 918 of the family's 1533-position model. The record is from RNAcentral.
GUGUCAGCCGCCGCGGUAAAACGUAGGACGCGAGCGUUAUCCGGAUUUACUGGGCGUAAAGCGCAUGCAGGCGGCCUUGUAAGUCGGAUGUGAAAUCUCCCGGCUCAACUGGGAGGCGUCAUUCGAUACUGCAAGGCUUGAGGGCAGGAGAGGGGAGUGGAAUUCCCGGUGUAGUGGUGAAAUGCGUAGAUAUCGGGAGGAACACCAGUGGCGAAGGCGGCUCCCUGGCCUGUACCUGACGCUAAGAUGCGAAAGCGUGGGGAGCGAACGGGAUUAGAAACCCCGGUAGUCCAUGCCGUAAACGAUGCGAACUUGGCGUUGGUGGUGUAAGAGCCAUCAGUGCCGCAGCAAACGCGAUAAGUUCGCCGCCUGGGGAUUACGACCGCAAGGUUAAAACUUAAAGGAAUUGACGGGG